RNAcentral lists this non-coding RNA (30 nucleotides) under Mus musculus (house mouse). The record is from RNAcentral. Lineage: Eukaryota; Metazoa; Chordata; Mammalia; Rodentia; Muridae.
UGAGUGUGGCCUCUCAGUGGAAUGUCUCAC